RNAcentral lists this ribosomal RNA (253 nucleotides) under uncultured bacterium. RNAcentral's name for it is "partial 16S ribosomal RNA". It matches the Rfam family "Bacterial small subunit ribosomal RNA", at positions 524 to 776 of the family's 1533-position model. The record is from RNAcentral.
AACGUAGGUACCGAGCGUUAUCCGGAUUUACUGGGCGUAAAGCGUGUUCAGGCGGCCGCGCAAGUCGGGCAUGAAAUCUCUCGGCUCAACCGGGAGGGGUUGUCCGAUACUGCGUGGCUGGAGGGCAGUAGAGGGUGGUGGAAUUCCGGGUGUAGUGGUGAAAUGCGUAGAGAUCCGGAGGAACACCAGUGGCGAAAGCGGCCACCUGGACUGUACCUGACGCUCAAACACGAAAGCUAGGGGAGCGAACGGG